RNAcentral lists this small nuclear RNA (107 nucleotides) under Myotis davidii. Lineage: Eukaryota; Metazoa; Chordata; Mammalia; Chiroptera; Vespertilionidae. The record is from RNAcentral.
GUGCUUGCUUCAGCAGCACAUAUAUUAAAAUUGGAAUGAUACAGAGAAGAUUAGUGUGGCCCCUGCACAAGGAUGACAUACAAAUUCAUGAAGCAUUCCAUACUUAA